This 439-nucleotide ribosomal RNA is filed under the name uncultured bacterium. Its description in RNAcentral is "partial 16S ribosomal RNA". It matches the Rfam family "Bacterial small subunit ribosomal RNA", at positions 338 to 795 of the family's 1533-position model. The record is from RNAcentral.
CCUACGGGCGGCAGCAGUGGGGAAUAUUGCACAAUGGGGGAAACCCUGAUGCAGCAACGCCGCGUGAGUGAUGACGGCUUUCGGGUUGUAAAGCUCUGUCUUCAGGGACGAUAAUGACGGUACCUGAGGAAGAAGCCACGGCUAACUACGUGCCAGCAGCCGCGGUAAUACGGAGGAGGCAAGCGUUAUCCGGAUUUACUGGGUUUAAAGGGGGCGUAGGCGGAGCGUAAAGUCAGUGGGAAAAGUGAGGGGCUCACCCCCUUCCCGCCAUUGAAACUGGCGCUCUUGAGUGGAAGAGAAGUAUGCGGAAUGCGUGGUGUAGCGGUGAAAUGCAUAGAUAUCACGCAGAACCCCGGUUGCGAAGGCAGCAUGCCGGCUGCCUACUGACGCUGAAGCACGAAAGCGUGGGGAUCGAACAGGAUUAGAUACCCGGGUAGUC